This 437-nucleotide ribosomal RNA is filed under the name uncultured Pseudoflavonifractor sp. RNAcentral's name for it is "partial 16S ribosomal RNA". It matches the Rfam family "Bacterial small subunit ribosomal RNA", at positions 341 to 792 of the family's 1533-position model. Lineage: Bacteria; Bacillati; Bacillota; Clostridia; Eubacteriales; Oscillospiraceae. The record is from RNAcentral.
ACGGAAGGCAGCAGUGGGGAAUAUUGGGCAAUGGGCGAAAGCCUGACCCAGCAACGCCGCGUGAAGGAAGAAGGCCUUCGGGUUGUAAACUUCUUUUGUCAGGGACGAAGGACGUGACGGUACCUGGCGAAUAAGCAACGGCUAACUACGUGCCAGCAGCCGCGGUAAUACGUAGGUUGCAAGCGUUGUCCGGAUUUACUGGGUGUAAAGGGCGUGUAGGCGGAUUUGCAAGUCAGAUGUGAAAUCCCGGGGCUCAACCCCGGAACUGCAUUUGAAACUGUAGACCUUGAGUAUCGGAGAGGCAAGCGGAAUUCCUAGUGUAGCGGUGAAAUGCGUAGAUAUUAGGAGGAACACCAGUGGCGAAGGCGGCUUGCUGGACGACAACUGACGCUGAGGCGCGAAAGCGUGGGGAGCAAACAGGAUUAGAUACCCUGGUA